CCUACGGGCAGCUGCAGUGGGGAAUAUUGGACAAUGGGCGAAAGCCUGAUCCAGCCAUGCCGCGUGUGUGAAGAAGGCCUUCGGGUUGUAAAGCACUUUCAGUGGGGAAGAAAGCCUUGGGGCUAAUACCCUCGAGGAAGGACAUCACCCACAGAAGAAGCACCGGCUAACUCCGUGCCAGCAGCCGCGGUAAUACGGAGGGUGCGAGCGUUAAUCGGAAUUACUGGGCGUAAAGCGCGCGUAGGCGGUCUGAUAAGCCGGUUGUGAAAGCCCCGGGCUCAACCUGGGAACGGCAUCCGGAACUGUCAGGCUAGAGUGCAGGAGAGGAAGGUAGAAUUCCCGGUGUAGCGGUGAAAUGCGUAGAGAUCGGGAGGAAUACCAGUGGCGAAGGCGGUCUUCUGGACUGACACUGACGCUGAGGUGCGAAAGCGUGGGUAGCAAACAGGAUUAGAUACCCUGGUAGUC
Molecule: ribosomal RNA, 465 nt
Filed under: Vreelandella stevensii
Lineage: Bacteria; Pseudomonadati; Pseudomonadota; Gammaproteobacteria; Oceanospirillales; Halomonadaceae
Description: partial 16S ribosomal RNA
Rfam family: Bacterial small subunit ribosomal RNA
Source: RNAcentral